AGCAGAACAGCACAAGUCCAUCUGUGGGUUACCUGCAGCCGCCCAGUUCAGAUCAGUACCAGAUGACCCAGUCUGCCUCGCCCUGCAGCCCACAGCCAAUGCAACAGCAGUAUUCAGGGGUUCCUCCUCCUGGUCCUAGUGUCAUGGUAAUGCAGCUCAGUGUCCCUAACGGACCGCAGCCGACCCAGAAUCCUCCGCUGGUGCAGUGGAACCCCUGCAAGUACUACAGCAUGGAGCAGAGACCCAGCAACCCCGAGCCGCAGGUAC
Sinocyclocheilus anshuiensis is the source of this 267-nucleotide long non-coding RNA. RefSeq lists it as uncharacterized. The transcript has 3 exons. Lineage: Eukaryota; Metazoa; Chordata; Actinopteri; Cypriniformes; Cyprinidae. The record is from RefSeq and is a predicted model, not a curated record.